UGAGUACGAGACGCUAAGGCGUCGAAGUAGUGGAUGUCAUACUUCCAAGAAAACAUUGCACUGUCAUAAAUAAAAGAUGCCUGUACCAUAACCGACACAGGUGGGUAAGUAGAGUAUACUAAGGGGCGCGAGAUAACUCUCUCUAAGGAACUCGGCAAAAUAACUCCGUAACUUCGGGAGAAGGAGUGCCUUAUUCUUAAGGUUGCAAUAACAAGAUCCAAGCAACUGUUUAUCAAAAACACAGGUCUCCGCUAAGUCGUAAGACGAUGUAUGGGGGCUGACGCCUGCCCAGUGCCAGAAGGUUAAAGAAGUCGGUUAGCAAUAGCAAAGCUGGUAACUGAAGCCCUGGUGAACGGCGGCCGUAACGAUAACGGUCCUAAGGUAGCGAAAUUCCUUGUCGGGUAAGUUCCGACCCGCACGAAAGGCGUAAUGAUUUGGAUGCUGUCUCGGAGAGGGGCUCGGUGAAAUAGACUUGUCUGUGAAGAUGCGGACUACCUGCACCAGGACAGAAAGACCCUAUGAAGCUUUACUGUAACUUGAAAUUGAAAUUGGACUUUAUUCGCGCAGUAUAGGUGGGAGGCGUUGAUUAUAAUCUUGUGGGAUUAUUGGAGCCAUCAGUGAGAUACCACUCUUGUAAUGUUAGAUUUCUAACUUUGAAUCAUUAUCUGGUCAGAGGACAGUUUCAGGCGGGCAGUUUGACUGGGGCGGUCGCCUCCUAAACGGUAACGGAGGCGUACAAAGGUUUCCUCUGAACGGUUAGAAAUCGUAUCUAGAGUGUAAAGGCAUAAGGAAGCUUGACUGUGAGACCUACAAGUCGAGCAGGGACGAAAGUCGGUCUUAGUGAUCUGACGGUACUGAGUGGAAAGGCCGUCACUCAACGGAUAAAAGUUACUCUAAGGAUAACAGGCUGAUCUCCCCCAAGAGUUCACAUCGACGGGGAGGUUUGGCACCUCGAUGUCGGCUCAUCGCAUCCUGGGGCGGUAGUACGUCCCAAGGGUUGGGCUGUUCGCCCAUGAAAGCGGUACGCGAGCUGGGUUCAGAACGUCGUGAGACAGUUCGGUCCAUAUCCGGUGUAGGCGCUAGAAUAUUGAGAGGAGCCUUCUUUAGUACGAGAGGACCGAGAAGGACAUACCUCUGGUGUGCCAGUUAUCGUGCCAACGGUAAACGCUGGGUAGCUAUGUAUGGAGUGGAUAACCGCUGAAAGCAUCUAAGUGGGAAGCCCACCUCAAGAUAAG
Molecule: ribosomal RNA, 1235 nt
Filed under: metagenome
Description: bacterial LSU rRNA
Rfam family: Bacterial large subunit ribosomal RNA
Source: RNAcentral